UAAUAAAUGUUCCUUUGCAUUUUGUUUGUUUCGGGGUCGAUGUGACAAAAAGGCAAAGAUGGGGCAUGGUUGACAACACUUUUCAGGCGGAGUCUUAGUGAUGGAGUCGACAAUGGAAGUUGGCUCGAUGGUUGUUUCGUGGCAACAUGAAUGAGAAUGUAUAGUGCUUUGCGGAUUGUAAAGUAACUAUUGUAUUUACCUAAUGUUGUGAUUGUUCUAUGAUAAUUAAAUUAUCUCA
Amborella trichopoda is the source of this 238-nucleotide long non-coding RNA. RefSeq lists it as uncharacterized. NCBI's taxonomy places the organism in Eukaryota, Viridiplantae, Streptophyta, Magnoliopsida, Amborellales, Amborellaceae. The record is from RefSeq and is a predicted model, not a curated record.